GCAUAACGGAAUAACCCAGAACGCACCUGACCUCAACGGAUCUCAGAAGCAAGGCAGGGCCAGGGCGGUUAGCCUUAGAGGGGAGACUGCCUGGUUAUCCG
RNAcentral lists this ribosomal RNA (101 nucleotides) under Vulpes vulpes (red fox). Lineage: Eukaryota; Metazoa; Chordata; Mammalia; Carnivora; Canidae. The record is from RNAcentral.